UGCAGCAACGCGAGUGGGAGCACCAGGAGCUCGGGCUCGGAGCAAAGCACUUUGGAUUGUUUUAAGAAAAUGGCAGACAAACCAGACAUGGGGGAAAUUGCCAGCUUCGAUAAGGCCAAGCUGAAGAAGAUGGAGACGCAGGAGAACACCCUGCCGACCAAAGAGACCAUUGAGCAGGGAAAGCGGAGUGAGAUUUCCUAAGAGCCCAGACAAUUCCCCGCCCCCGUCAUCUUCGAGACCCCCCAAGAGCGGAAGAG
RNA transcript from Octodon degus (degu), 257 nucleotides. It is a transcript of the gene named thymosin beta-10 pseudogene, with no coding region annotated. The record is from RefSeq and is a predicted model, not a curated record. The transcript is spliced from 2 exons. Lineage: Eukaryota; Metazoa; Chordata; Mammalia; Rodentia; Octodontidae.